AAAAGAGACGCCACACAAACAAAAUGUUUCAUGUUCGUUUUCGUUGUUUGUUUUUAUUAUUAUUUUAUUUGUCUAGAGUAGUAAACGUACAGAGAAACAG
Molecule: non-coding RNA, 100 nt
Filed under: uncultured Nitzschia
Lineage: Eukaryota; Bacillariophyta; Bacillariophyceae; Bacillariales; Bacillariaceae
Source: RNAcentral